Long non-coding RNA from Strigops habroptila (Kakapo), 1841 nucleotides. Lineage: Eukaryota; Metazoa; Chordata; Aves; Psittaciformes; Psittacidae. The record is from Ensembl.
GGAGAAGGCGGCGGCGGGGGGGCGCUGGGGGUCGUGCCGGGGCGGGCUCCCCCCGGUGCCACCGGUGCUGCCCUGGACUGGUCCGUCCUGGACAAGGACCACGACCUCUUCCCGCGGGGAGGCUCCUCGCACUUCGAGUUCCCGGACUAUUGCACGCCCGAGGUGACGGAGAUGAUAGCGGGGGACUGGCUCAUGUCCAGCAUCUCGGACUUGGUCUUUACCUACUGAGUCCCGCGCUCUGCAGGUAACACCCCGUUUCUUGUUUUACUCCCCCCACAAUCAGGUCAUAUCUAUAAAAUAAGAACCGAAACCAGCUGUUUACAUGCAGGAAUCAGGUAUUUUGCCUUGAAGGCGCUGGAAGGCAGAGCUCCCGCUCACCCACCCCCGGCACACACCAGCUCCUCGUCCGACCGUCUGCCCCGCGCUCGGACGUGUGGCUGCUCACAUCUCAUCGGGGUUUUAUUGCCAGGGCCUGGCCCCUUCCCAUGGCUGCUCCCAUCCCCACCAGCCAUUCCCUCCUGCUCUCCAGCAGCCGGAGCACUCACAGCGGCCCUCGGCGCCCAUCCCAUCCUCCCCAUCCCUUGGGGAAUGGCCGAUUCCUUCUGCGUUUUGACCGCAUUUCAAGCACGGCUUCAAUUUCCUCCUCCUCCCUGACGCAGCCCCUGGGGAUGGAUGGAGGGAGGCAGAGCCCCACCGAGCCCUCCCUGCCCGACACCCCAUUCCCUGGGUGUCCCUGGCCGUGGGGGUUCCGUAUCCCACGGGACCAGCGCUUUCCCUGUGCCACACGCUCCCGGCCGCUCGCUUUGGGAAGAGCGAAGUUGGGCGCACGUGACGCGCACGUGGUGCGGGAGGUUGUGUUGUUCCUCUCGCCGGGCGGUUGUGCGGAGGAGGCUGUGCCCAGAGCCACCCCGAAUUCCAGCUGGAACCAGCCCUUCCCACGGCAGCCAGUCCCUAUUCUAGCCUUGGAGCCAGUGCCCACACAGGACAUGCUCCACUCUGGCUCGCUUUGGCCGGUGGAGCAGGUCCCACCGUGCUCGGCUGCAGUGGGCGAUGGUGCUGGCGUGGCAGAGAGAAUGCUGCUGGAAUUCUGCCUUAAGCAACCACCCAAACGGGGCCCAGAGCAGCAGCAGCCGGUGCCGUGGGUGAUGCUCCGUCAUGGGGCUUCCUCCACAUGGCACCAUGGGAGCAGGAGCAUCCCGGCAGAGUGCUGCCGAGCAGCUUCCCGGCAGGAGCAGCCCUUCCACAGUGGCUCCUCCAGCCGGGCUUGUCUUUGCUUUUCCUAAUGGCUCCUUCCUGCAACGAGCCGCCUCCUCCCGCUGCCGGGGAGCACGUGGCUGUGGCUGUGGCUGCAGCACCGGCUGCGGCUGUGGGGCAGGGGCUGUGCUUGGGUAGGGCCAUGCUGUGUGUGUGGGGCUGGUGAGGACCCCGGGCACCCCAAGUGCCAGCCCUGGGGACAUGGCCAUGGCCAUCAGCACCCGGAGGGGCUGCAGUGGGCUCAGUGGGGUCCUCUGCUUGAAGCAGCCUCUGAGGUCCCCCGUUGCCUUGAGUCUUCUCAAGGCAUCCUCCAGAGGGGAUGCAGGAGCCCCGCUGGCCCUUCCCGGGGUACCAGGGCAGUGGGGGUGCUGCAUCCCUGUUCUGGGGCUGCGGUUCCUCCAGCCACAGCUGCCCAUUGCCAUGGGGCUGCCAUGACCAUGGGAAGGGCAUCACCCCCCUCCAGGGUCCUGGCACCCCCCCCAGUGCAGCUCGGAGCAGGGACCUGCCCUGAUGCCCUGGCAAAGGUCCCUUCAAGGGAUGCUCCGUGUCCCCCAUCCCGGGCGGCCUCGGGGUCCCCUGGAGCCCCC